ACAAAAGUAAUGCAAAGGAGUAGUAACAAGCCAUAGAUUUUGAGAGAGUCGGUGGUUGGUGAGAACCGAUAAUCAAAAGCUUGCGAACUCGCCUUUAAACUGUAGAUAGGAAAGCAAAGUACUCUCUACCGUACCUCUGCGUUAAAGAGCUCGAGUGGUAUUUAUGGUUGAGUAGAUAUCAUUAGGGUGGUACCACGGGAAAUGUAACCUAACCUCUCGUCCCUAGC
RNAcentral lists this non-coding RNA (227 nucleotides) under Tepidibacillus sp. RNAcentral's name for it is "T-box sequence". It matches the Rfam family "T-box leader". Rfam says of the family: Uncharged tRNA acts as the effector for transcription antitermination of genes in the T-box leader family. T-boxes are found upstream of many aminoacyl-tRNA synthetase genes and some amino acid biosynthetic genes usually in Gram-positive bacteria. Lineage: Bacteria; Bacillati; Bacillota; Bacilli; Caryophanales; Bacillaceae. The record is from RNAcentral.